CGUAAGAUGGGGAUUCUUUUAUGAAAGGGCGUGAGGGAAAUGUCUGAAACAAAGUGACCUUUAAUCACUUCCUUUAUCAGGAGCUGUAAGGACGUGGGGAAAGAAGCUGAGGACUUCAAAAAUGAUGAAAGAAAGAAAAGAGAGAAAGAAAGAAAGAAAUCCUUACAUUACAACCCAGCAGGAAGUACCUGUGUCCUUCUCCAGUCUACCUGCCAGUAUACCGUGUGCAGUCUACCUGGGAGUCUACCGUGGACUAGAUGGCCUGUUUUAGGAUGUCACAUGAAUGGAAUCACACAGCACCUGCGUCCUUCCCCUCCCGGUGGUAAUUCCUGAAAUAAAUCUAUCAAAAUCUGUCAAAAACCCUGGCUCUGAAACCGCCUUCGGAACCAGCUGCUGGCCCCCCGGCUUUACUCUCUGGCUUCGGCUGGAACACACCCGGCUUCCGCCUGGCCCCCGCCACACUCAUGGUCUCCCCACGGCGCCCCUGUGACUGCACCGCCGGGAGCACCGCCGCCUGACCGCUUCCUUCGUCUCUGAAACUGCUCACCCCUUGCUCCCAGCAUCUCUGAGGACCCUGACCCUUCCUUCUGAAACCUCCUCCAUGGGUUUUAUAGCAUUACAAUAAAUUUCCUUUUGGCUUAAGCUAACUUAAUACUUUUUGUCAUUUAUAUAUAAAGAAUUAUAAGGAAUAAAUACAAGGAAUAUCAAAUUAAGCACAUAUGAAAUAAAACUCAGUCUGCUUUCCACC
Molecule: long non-coding RNA, 748 nt
Organism: Rhinolophus ferrumequinum (greater horseshoe bat)
Lineage: Eukaryota; Metazoa; Chordata; Mammalia; Chiroptera; Rhinolophidae
Exons: 3
Source: RefSeq, a predicted model, not a curated record